Molecule: long non-coding RNA, 497 nt
Organism: Bombyx mori (domestic silkworm)
Lineage: Eukaryota; Metazoa; Arthropoda; Insecta; Lepidoptera; Bombycidae
Exons: 2
Source: RefSeq, a predicted model, not a curated record
GUCGCCUCAAACACUAGGAAAUUAGACUCUGGUAUCUUGAAUGCGUUGAAUCUGGCCUCGAGGGAAUCACCAUUGCGACCCUUAUCCAAUUCCGGGAACACAUCCGGGUCCACUGGACAUCUAUAAAGUGUACACGAACUCAAAUGAUGUCGUACUCAAUAAAAAAAUUGCUUCUUUCUGAUAUCAAGGAAGACGACUCAGCGUAAAAUUAAUUGAACUUCUUAAGUUCAAUCCAAGCAUCAAAGAUCGACAUUAGUUUUUAUGUACCCCUCCGAUGUAAAAUAUGAAGAAGAAAAAAACAGACCGAAAAAAACAGUUCGCAAACCAACAGUAAUUAAUAAUAUAACAUCAUUUUUGUUAUUUAAAAAACGUCUAGUUCACGUUUGAGGAAUCAACUCCAUAGCUUGUAUAUAUAAAAUGUUAAAAAACAAAUCAAUCCAAACGAACAUGCUCGUCGUUUUGCUUUGAAUAAAAAUAAAUUUUGAACUAAAGGAAUA